RNAcentral lists this ribosomal RNA (405 nucleotides) under uncultured bacterium. RNAcentral describes it as "bacterial SSU rRNA". It matches the Rfam family "Bacterial small subunit ribosomal RNA", at positions 355 to 776 of the family's 1533-position model. The record is from RNAcentral.
UGAGGAAUAUUGGACAAUGGGCGAAAGCCUGAUCCAGCAACGCCGCGUGAGUGAUGAAGGCCUUCGGGUUGUAAAGCUCUGUCGGGGGGAACGAGCAAGGACGGUACCCCUAAAGGAAGCACCGGCUAACUCCGUGCCAGCAGCCGCGGUAAUACGGAGGGUGCGAGCGUUGUCCGGAAUUACUGGGCGUAAAGCACGUGCAGGCGGUCUGUUAUGUCGGGUGUGAAAUCCCAAGGCUCAACCUUGGAACUGCGCUCGAAACUGGCAGACUUGAGUACGAGAGGGGAUGGUGGAAUUCCCGGUGUAGAGGUGAAAUUCGUAGAUAUCGGGAAGAAUACCGGUGGCGAAGGCGACCAUCUGGCUCGUUACUGACGCUCAGACGUGAAAGCGUGGGGAGCAAACAGA